Molecule: transfer RNA, 72 nt
Filed under: Neverita didyma
Lineage: Eukaryota; Metazoa; Mollusca; Gastropoda; Littorinimorpha; Naticidae
Description: tRNA-Lys
Source: RNAcentral
UCUUAGAUGACUGAGACUUAAGUGUUAGAUUUUUAAUCUAAAAACGGCAUAAAAAUUAAAUGCCUCUAAGAG